CGGGGGGCUGCAGUAGGGAAUAUUGCGCAAUGGGCGAAAGCCUGACGCAGCGACACCGUGUGAAGGAUGAAGGUCUUCGGAUCGUAAACUUCUGUCAAUUGGGGACGAAGGUAAUAAGGUUAAUAGCCUUUAUUAUUGACGGUACCUAAUAAGGAAGUCUCGGCUAACUCCGUGCCAGCAGCCGCGGUAAGACGGAGGAGGCAAGCGUUGUCCGGAAUCAUUGGGCGUAAAGAGCGCGUAGGCGGUUUUUCAAGUCGUAUGUGAAAACUUCAGGCUUAACCUGAUGAUUGCAUAUGAAACUGGAUAACUUGAGUACAGCAGAGGAAAGUGGAAUUCCUGGUGUAGCGGUGAAAUGUGCAGAUAUCAGGAAGAACACCAGUAGCGAAGGCGGCUUUCUGGGCUGUUACUGACGCUGAGGCGCGAAAGCUAGGGGAGCGAACAGGAUUAGAUACCCCAGUAGUC
RNAcentral lists this ribosomal RNA (462 nucleotides) under uncultured Acidobacteriota bacterium. RNAcentral describes it as "bacterial SSU rRNA". It matches the Rfam family "Bacterial small subunit ribosomal RNA", at positions 342 to 795 of the family's 1533-position model. The record is from RNAcentral. Lineage: Bacteria; Pseudomonadati; Acidobacteriota.